AUCGAGUUGAAGAGUCCCAAAUAGGAUGAGAUGCGCAUCCUGGAU
This 45-nucleotide non-coding RNA is filed under the name Schistosoma margrebowiei. The record is from RNAcentral. Lineage: Eukaryota; Metazoa; Platyhelminthes; Trematoda; Strigeidida; Schistosomatidae.